This 493-nucleotide ribosomal RNA is filed under the name uncultured bacterium. RNAcentral's name for it is "partial 16S ribosomal RNA". It matches the Rfam family "Bacterial small subunit ribosomal RNA", at positions 30 to 507 of the family's 1533-position model. The record is from RNAcentral.
AGUGAACGCUGGCGGUAGGCCUAACACAUGCAAGUCGAACGGCAGCACAGUAAGAGCUUGCUCUUACGGGUGGCGAGUGGCGGGCGGGUGAGGCGUACAUCGGACUCUACUUUUUCGUGGGGGAUAACGUAGGGAAACUUACGCUAAUACCGCAUACGACCUACGGCUGAAACCAGGGGAUCUUCGGACCUUGCGCGAUUGAAUGGGCCGAUGUCGGAUUAGCUAGUUGGCGGGGUAAAGGCCCACCAAGGCGACGAUCCGUAGCUGGUCUGAGAGGAUGAGCGGCCCCAACGGGAAAGAGAGACCGCCCCGAGUCCCCCAGGGGGGGGCAGUGGGGAAACUUUCGCAAAGGGGGCGAAACUGUCGGCGCACCGCCCCGUGGGGGAUGAGGGGCCUCGGGUUGUAAAGCGCUGUUUUUUGGGAAAAAAAGACUUCCUGCGAAUAGCCCGAAGGUUUGACGGUACCCAAAGAGAAAGCCACGGCUAACUACGGG